GCAGGUGAUUUCCUGGCAGGGUGAUGGUGCCUCUGCUCUCUCCCGCAGAGCUUGCCCCAGAUCUGCGGUGUGGCCGAAGGGCAGGCGUUCGCCUCUGCUCUGCAGCAGCUCUACACAGCAGUGACGCAGCAGGAGGCCAAGCAGUCUCGGAAACGGCAGCGCUCAGAGCUCCCCCACCCAGGCACCAUUCCUGGUGUGGGUUUGGGCAAUGCCCCGUGCUCCCUCAUCUCAAUCCCAAAUUGCAUCUCUUUCUGCUGGUACCAGAGGACACUGAGGGCCCAACAACUGCUGCAGAAACCACAGGGCACCCCCAUCCACCACCUCCAUCCCAGGAGGAUGAAACAGCAUCUUCCAGUGAGGGAACCACGCCGGCCUCCUCCCCAGCUCAGAAGCUCCGGCUGCCUGUGGCCAAGGCCAAGCCAAAGAAGGCAAAGGGGCUCUUCAGCUGAAAGGUCACUGCUACCUACCCCAAGGGUCUCUGCUCCCCCCAGCAUCCAAGAGAGGCAGUGCAGAGCACCCACGCGUCCUCUGCCUCCUCUCCUGCAUCUCCUAGCGGACCCUGCCCAGGUCAUGGUCCCCUCCCAAGGUGUCUCCAGCCAGGGAGAUGGGGCAUCUCCUUUCUUCAAUGGUGUCUCAGGAACCUCUUUUCUCCCUCUUCCUGGUGCAGAGGUUGCCCAGGCUGCCUCAUGGUGGAGCCAGUGCUGCACCCGGGGGGAAUGGGAGGGAUGCUGCCGGGUGGGUGUGGGACAGCUGGGGCUCUGGCAGGGCUGUGGGGUUUGGCUGCUCUUGUGUGGGUUUGCAAUAAAGGGCUGUGUCUGAGUGAG
This 824-nucleotide long non-coding RNA is filed under the name Buteo japonicus. RNAcentral describes it as "lncRNA (ENSBJAG00000010353.1)". Lineage: Eukaryota; Metazoa; Chordata; Aves; Accipitriformes; Accipitridae. The record is from RNAcentral.